UGAGGAAUAUUGGGCAAUGCCCGCAAGGGUGACCCAGCAACGCCGCGUGGAGGAUGAAUGUCGUAAGAUUGUAAACUCCUGUUAGAGGGGAAGAAUAGUACCGGUUGGACCGGUAUAUGACUGUACCCUCAGAGAAAGCCCCGGCUAACUACGUGCCAGCAGCCGCGGUAAUACGUAGGCAGCAAGCGUUGUUCGGAGUUACUGGGCGUAAAGAGUGCGUAGGCGGUUUUCUAAGUUCGGUGUGAAAUCUCCCGGCUUAACUGGGAGGGUGCGCCGAAGACUGGGAAGCUGGAGUGUGGGAAAGGCAGGCGGAAUUCCUGGUGUAGCGGUGAAAUGCGUAGAUAUCAGGAGGAACACCGGCGGUGUAGACGGCUUGCUAGACCAUAACUGACGCUGAGGCACGAAAGCGUGGGUAGCAAACA
RNAcentral lists this ribosomal RNA (422 nucleotides) under uncultured bacterium. RNAcentral's name for it is "bacterial SSU rRNA". It matches the Rfam family "Bacterial small subunit ribosomal RNA", at positions 355 to 774 of the family's 1533-position model. The record is from RNAcentral.